Molecule: ribosomal RNA, 990 nt
Filed under: Triticum aestivum (bread wheat)
Lineage: Eukaryota; Viridiplantae; Streptophyta; Magnoliopsida; Poales; Poaceae
Description: partial small subunit ribosomal RNA
Source: RNAcentral
AUGUUGGCUAAACAGUGCUGGAGACUCGUCACUGAUGCAGAUUCUUUGGUGGCGAGAGUUUUAAAAGCUAAAUAUUAUCCUAAUGGAAGCAUUCUUACUGCUACUCCAAAAAAUGGGUCAUCCUUUACUUGGCAAAGUAUCCUUAAGGGACUGGAAACUUUUAAGAAAGGGUAUAUUUGGAGAAUUGGGACCGGGGAAGAAGUGAAUAUAUGGAAGGAUCCUUGGAUCCCAGCUAGUUCUGAUUUGAAGGUUAUCACUCCUCGGGGCCAAACAGUGUUGACACGGGUGUGUGAGUUAAUUGAUCCUAUGACGGGCACUUGGGAUGAGGACUUACUACAACAUAUUUUCUAUCCUGUAGAUGUUCGCAGAGUACUACAGAUUCCUAUCAAUCUCCAUGCCUUUGAUGAUUUUAUUGCGUGGCAACCAAGCCGGACUGGUAUUUUCUCUGUUCGCACAGCUUACCAUUUACAAUGGAUGCAUACUUUUCGAGCACAUGGAACUAGGAUGGAGAACCCUGGUGGAUCCACACCUCUGGCAGUCUGGAGUACACUUUGGAAACUCCCAGUUCCACGUAAAGUUCAAGUAUUUGGAUGGAGGUUGUUACGAGGAAUCAUCCCGCUACGAGCUAUCCUCACUAAUAGGCAUGUCGGGUCUAAUGGAGCCUGCCCAAUCUGCCAUCAGGGGGCGGAGGACAUCAAGCAUCUUCUAUUCCAGUGCACGCAUGCAAGGGAUUUGUGGGACCGACUAGGCUUGCUGGAACUAGUGAAUCAAUCAUUGCCAGUGGAUAGAUCGGGAUCGAUCAUUGUCGCGCAUAUACUGUCACUUCCGGACAGUCAUCUAUAUAUGCAUCCGAACAUCAAUUUUAAACAGGCCAUUUUGGUGGGAGCGUGGUACCUAUGGUGGAUUAGGUGGCAGGCCACACACAGUGAAACAUACCCACCCUCAUGGAGAUGGCCUAUCUCAGUCCUGUCCAUUGUGAGGAAUUUCUAA